UCCAGCUGAUCCUGCUGGAGGAUACUGCUAUGGGAAUCCGACUAAGACAUGCAAGUCUAAGAGUUCCGGCUAUGAGGGACUCUGGCGGACGGCUCAGUAACGCGUGGGUAAUCUACCCUCGGGCGGAGUAAAUCCCGGGAAACUGGGGAUAAUGCUCCAUAGGCAACCAAUACUGGAAGGUUUUGUUGCCUAAACGCAAGCACUUCAUGCUGUGCAAGCGCCUGAGGACGAGCCUGCGUCAGAAUAGGUUGUUGGCGGGGUAACUGCCCACCAAGCCAAAGAUCUGUACGGGCCUUGGAAGAGGUAGCCCGGAGAAGGGAACUGAGAUAAGGUCCCUAGCCCUACGGGGUGCAGCAGUCGCGAAACCUCUACAAUGCGCGAAAGCGCGAUAGGGGGAUUCCCAGUGCCAGCACUGCUGGCUUUUGCCAAGUCUAGACCGCUUGGCGAAUAAGUGGGGGGCAAGAUACGUGCCAGCCGCCGCGGUAACACGUACUCCACUAGUGGUGUCCACUAAUAUUGGGCUUAAAACGCCCGUAGCCAGCUCUGAAAGUCCUCUGUGAAAUCGGCUAGCUUAACUAGCCGGCGUGCAAGGGAAACUUCAGGGCUCGAGGUCAGGAGAGGUUAGGGGAAUUCCAGGAGUAACGGUGAAAUGUUAAGAUCCCUGGAGGACCACCGGUAGCGAAGGCGCCUAACCAGAACGAACCUGACGGUGAGGGACGAAAGCCAGGGGAGCGACCCGGAUUAGAUACCCGGUUAGUCCUGGCCGUAAACGAUGUGGACUAAGUGUUCCGAUAUCGCAAGAUACCGGAGUGCUGAAGGGAAACCGUUAAGUCCACUGCCUGGGAAGUAUGGUCGCAAGGCCGAAACUUAAUGGAAUUGGCGGGGGCGCACUACAAGGGGUGGAUGCUGCGGUUUAAUUGGAUUCAACCCCAGACAACUCACCAGGGUCGACAGCAGAAUGACGGUCAACCUGAAGGGCUUACCUGACGCGCUGAGAGGUGUUGUAUGGUCAUCGUCAGCUCGUACUAUGAAGCGUCCUGUUAACUCAGGCAACGAGCGAGACCCAUAUCAUUAGUUGCAACUUCCCAUUUUUGGGGGGGCACUCUAAUGAGACUGCUCUGGAAACAGAGAGGAAGGAAUGGGCGACGGUAGAUCUGUAUGGCCCGAAUACCCUUGGGCUACACGCGGCAUACAAUGGCUAGGACAAUGAGCUACGAACCCGAAAGGGCAAGUUAAUCCCCUAAACCUAGUCUCGGUUCGGAUCGAGGAUUGGAACUCAUCCUCGCGAAUGAUUGGAAUCCCCAGUAAUCGCGUAUCACUAUUGCGCGGUGAAUACGUCCCUGCGCCUUGCACACACUGCCCAUCAAGCCAGCUGAGUAGAGUUUUGAUGAGGCUUUUUCAUGAGAAAGAGUCGAUUCUGAGUUCUGCAAGGCGGGCUAAGUUGUAACAAGGUG
RNAcentral lists this ribosomal RNA (1454 nucleotides) under metagenome. Its description in RNAcentral is "bacterial SSU rRNA". It matches the Rfam family "Archaeal small subunit ribosomal RNA". The record is from RNAcentral.